This 224-nucleotide ribosomal RNA is filed under the name uncultured type I methanotroph. RNAcentral describes it as "partial 16S ribosomal RNA". It matches the Rfam family "Bacterial small subunit ribosomal RNA", at positions 364 to 583 of the family's 1533-position model. Lineage: Bacteria; Pseudomonadati; Pseudomonadota; Gammaproteobacteria; Methylococcales; Methylococcaceae. The record is from RNAcentral.
UUGGCCAUGGGCGCAGCCUGAUCCAGCAUGCCGCGUGGGUGAAGAAGGCCUUCGGGUUGUAAAGCCCUUUCGGUGGGGAAGAAAUCGGCCGGGCGAAUAGUCCGGUCGGAUGACGGUACCCGCAGAAGAAGCACCGGCUAACUACGUGCCAGCAGCCGCGGUAAUACGUAGGGUGCGAGCGUUAAUCGGAAUUACUGGGCGUAAAGGGUGCGCAGGCGGCCCUG